Molecule: ribosomal RNA, 292 nt
Filed under: uncultured bacterium
Lineage: Bacteria
Description: partial 16S ribosomal RNA
Source: RNAcentral
GGACUACUCGGGUAUCUAAUCCUGUUUGCUCCCCACGCUUUCGUGUCUCAGUGUCAGUACUCGUCCAGUUGGCCGCCUUCGCCACAGGUGUUCCUCUCGAUAUCUACGAAUUUCACCUCUACACCGAGAAUUCCACCAACCUCUCCGGUACUCUAGCUACGCAGUAUCGGGUGCACUUCCUGAGUUGAGCCCAGGGCUUUCACAUCCGACUUUCGCAGCCACCUACACACGCUUUACGCCCAGUAAUUCCGAACAACGUUUGCACCCUCUGUCUUACCGCGGCGGCUGGCAC